RNAcentral lists this ribosomal RNA (174 nucleotides) under Triticum aestivum (bread wheat). RNAcentral's name for it is "partial small subunit ribosomal RNA". The record is from RNAcentral. Lineage: Eukaryota; Viridiplantae; Streptophyta; Magnoliopsida; Poales; Poaceae.
UUAUAUUCCUUUCUCCAUCUUGUUAGCUGGGAGAUCUGGACGGAGCGAAAUGCACGCAUGUUCAGGAUGAAGGCGGCACCAAUGGCGGUGAUCGUGCCGACUAUCAAAGAGGAGGCGUCUAUCUGGGCCCUUGCAAGAGCAAGACAUUUGUGUAAUUUGAUGCCGCAAGAGUAG